UCGGGAAACUUCCACAAUGGGCGAAAGCCUGAUGGAGCGACGUCGCGUGAUGGACGAAGUGCUUCGGCACGUAAACAUCUUUUAUGUGGGAUGAAAUUAUUGACAGUACCACAUGAAUAAGGGGCUCCUAACUCUGUGCCAGCAGGAGCGGUAAUACAGAGGCCCCAAGCGUUAUCCGGAAUCACUGGGCGUAAAGGGUGUCGAGGCGGUUGUAUUAGUCGUUCGUAAAAUCUACGAGCUUAACUUGUAGGCGGCGAACGAAACGGUACGACUUGAGGUUUGGAGAGGUGCGUGGAACUCACGGUGUAGGGGUGAAAUCCGUUGAUAUCGUGGGGAACACCAAAGGCGAAGGCAGCGCACUGGCCAAAAUCUGACGCUCACACACGAAAGCUAGGGUAGCGAAGAGGAUUAGAUACCCGGGUAGUCCCUGAGCGGGCUGGCAAGGCGCAU
Molecule: ribosomal RNA, 450 nt
Filed under: uncultured bacterium
Lineage: Bacteria
Description: bacterial SSU rRNA
Rfam family: Bacterial small subunit ribosomal RNA
Source: RNAcentral